Molecule: ribosomal RNA, 301 nt
Filed under: uncultured bacterium
Lineage: Bacteria
Description: partial 16S ribosomal RNA
Rfam family: Bacterial small subunit ribosomal RNA
Source: RNAcentral
CAGCAGCCGCGGUAAUACGAGAGGUGCAAGCGUUAUUCGGACUGAUUGGGUGUAAAGGGUGUGCAGACGGCUUAUUAAGUCACUUGUUAAAUUCUUCGGCCUAACUGAAGGUCUGCAAGUGAUACUGAUGAGCUAGAGGGUGGAAGAGAGAAGUGGAAUUCUCGGAGUAGCGGUAAAAUGCGUAGAGAUGUGGAGGAACACCAGUGGCGAAGGCGACUCUCUGGUCUGUAACUGACGCUGAGGAGCGAAAGCGUGGGGAGCGAACAGGAUUAGAUACCCCAGUAGUCCCUGUCUCUUAUAC